GAUGAACGCUAGCGGCAGGCUUAAUACAUGCAAGUCGAGGGGCAGCGCGGGUAGCAAUACCUGGCGGCGACCGGCAAACGGGUGCGGAACACGUACGCAACCUUCCCAAAACUGGUGAAUAGCCCUCCGAAAGGAGGAUUAAUACACCGUACCAUAACGAAGAGGCAUCUCUUUGUUAUUAUAGUAGCAAUACGGUUUUGGAUGGGCGUGCGCCUGAUUAGGUAGUUGGCGGGGUAACGGCCCACCAAGCCUGCGAUCAGUAACUGGUGUGAGAGCACGACCAGUCACACGGGCACUGAGACACGGGCCCGACUCCUACGGGAGGCAGCAGUAAGGAAUAUUGGUCAAUGGACGCAAGUCUGAACCAGCCAUGCCGCGUGAAGGAUGAAGGCCCUCUGGGUUGUAAACUUCUUUUAUCUGGGACGAAAAAGCUCUUUCUAGAGCACUUGACGGUACCAGAGGAAUAAGCACCGGCUAACUCCGUGCCAGCAGCCGCGGUAAUACGU
RNAcentral lists this ribosomal RNA (506 nucleotides) under uncultured bacterium. RNAcentral describes it as "bacterial SSU rRNA". It matches the Rfam family "Bacterial small subunit ribosomal RNA", at positions 28 to 528 of the family's 1533-position model. The record is from RNAcentral.